ACCAGACUCCUACGGGAGGCAGCAGUGGGGAAUAUUGCACAAUGGGCGCAAGCCUGAUGCAGCCAUGCCGCGUGUAUGAAGAAGGCCUUCGGGUUGUAAAGUACUUUCAGCGGGGAGGAAGGUGUUGAGGUUAAUAACCUCAGCAAUUGACGUUACCCGCAGAAGAAGCACCGGCUAACUCCGUGCCAGCAGCCGCGGUAAUACGGAGGGUGCAAGCGUUAAUCGGAAUUACUGGGCGUAAAGCGCACGCAGGCGGUCUGUCAAGUCGGAUGUGAAAUCCCCGGGCUCAACCUGGGAACUGCAUUCGAAACUGGCAGGCUGGAGUCUUGUAGAGGGGGGUAGAAUUCCAGGUGUAGCGGUGAAAUGCGUAGAGAUCUGGAGGAAUACCGGUGGCGAAGGCAGCCUCCUGGGACGCAACUGACGCUCAUACACGAAAGCGUGGGGAGCAAACAGGAUUAGAUACCCGCGUA
This 470-nucleotide ribosomal RNA is filed under the name uncultured bacterium. Its description in RNAcentral is "bacterial SSU rRNA". It matches the Rfam family "Bacterial small subunit ribosomal RNA", at positions 330 to 792 of the family's 1533-position model. The record is from RNAcentral.